CUUCUUGGAAGGGCCGUAUUUAUUAGAUAACAGCCAAUAGGACUCCGUCCNNUGAGNUGACUCAUAGUAACUGAUCGGAUCGCAUGGGCCUUGCCCGCGACAAACCAUUCAAGUUUCUGCCCCAUCAGCUGUCGAUGGUAGUGUAUUGGACUACCAUGGCUUUUACGGGUAACGGAGGAUUAGGGUUCGAUUCCGGAGAGGGAGCCUGAAAAACGGCUACCACAUCUAAGGAAGGCAGCAGGCGCGUAAAUUACCCAAUCCUGACUCAGGGAGGUAGUGACAAGAAAUAACGGGCCGGGA
Molecule: ribosomal RNA, 300 nt
Filed under: uncultured Spirotrichea
Lineage: Eukaryota; Ciliophora; Spirotrichea
Description: SSU rRNA
Rfam family: Eukaryotic small subunit ribosomal RNA
Source: RNAcentral